CGCGCAGGCGGAUCUGCCAGUCUGUCUUAAAAGUUCGGGGCUUAACCCCGUGAUGGGAUGGAAACUACAGAUCUAGAGUAUCGGAGAGGGAAGUGGAAUUCCUAGUGUAGCGGUGAAAUGCGUAGAUAUUAGGAAGAACACCAGUGGCGAAGGCGACUUUCUGGACGAAAACUGACGCUGAGGCGCGAAAGCCAGGGGAGCGAACG
RNAcentral lists this ribosomal RNA (206 nucleotides) under uncultured Veillonella sp. RNAcentral's name for it is "partial 16S ribosomal RNA". It matches the Rfam family "Bacterial small subunit ribosomal RNA", at positions 568 to 774 of the family's 1533-position model. Lineage: Bacteria; Bacillati; Bacillota; Negativicutes; Veillonellales; Veillonellaceae. The record is from RNAcentral.